This 502-nucleotide ribosomal RNA is filed under the name uncultured bacterium. RNAcentral describes it as "bacterial SSU rRNA". It matches the Rfam family "Bacterial small subunit ribosomal RNA", at positions 28 to 521 of the family's 1533-position model. The record is from RNAcentral.
GACGAACGCUGGCGGCGUGGAUUAGGCAUGCAAGUCGAACGGUAUCAUCCUUUCGGGGGUGAGAGAGUGGCGAACUGGUGAGUAACACGUAGGUUAUCUACCCUCAAGACGGGGACAACCCAGGGAAACUUGGGCUAAUACCGGAUGUGAGCAACUUUUAGUUGUUUGAAAGGUGGCGUAAGCUGUCGCUUGGGGAUGAGCCUGCGUCCUAUUAGUUAGUUGGUGAGGUAACGGCUCACCUAGGCAAUGAUAGGUAGGCGGCCUUAACGGGUGGUCGCCCACACUGGGAUUGAGAUACGGCCCAGACUCCUACGGGAGGCAGCAGUCGAGAAUAGUCUACAAUGGUCGGAAGACUGAUAGUGCGACGCCGCGUGAACGAUGAAUCCCUUCGGGGUUAAAGUUCUUUUAUAUGUGAGCAGUGCUUCUUAUAUUAACAGUAUGGGGAGAGAGAUAUUAGCAUAUGAAUAAGCAACGGCUAAACUCCGUGCCCAGCAGCCGCGGU